Molecule: long non-coding RNA, 447 nt
Filed under: Phasianus colchicus (ring-necked pheasant)
Lineage: Eukaryota; Metazoa; Chordata; Aves; Galliformes; Phasianidae
Description: lncRNA (ENSPCLG00000017091.1)
Source: RNAcentral
AGGGGGAUAUGGGGCCAUAUGGGGGGAUAUGGGGCGAUAUGCAAUUUAUGGGGCCAUAUCGAGCGAUAUAGGGCAGUAUGGGAUGAUACAGGCUUUAUGGGGCCGCAUACGGGGCGAUAUGGGGUAAUAUAAAAUUUAAGGGCCCAUAUAACAGAUAUACAGAAUAAUAUGGGAUUCAUGGGACCAUACAGGGCGAUAAAGAGCGAUACAACGUGAUAUAGGGCGAUAUGGGGUUUGUGGGGCCGUAUGGCAGAGAUGUGGGGCGAUGUGGGGCGAUGUGGGGCCGGCCCACCUUCCCGACGGGGAACUUGCGCAGGAAGUCGGCGCUGCGGUUGCUGUGUCCGAAGCGGAAGUGGGGCGGCGAGCUGAGGACGCGGAGCUGCGCCCCGCUGUACUGAGCCGCGAUCUGCGCCUUGAACGAGCGCCAGUUCUCGGGGUACGUGAACA